CUUCGGAGCUCCAACUACCGGGAGCCUCCAACAUGCCCGUAGUAGCCCUUCUCCCCUGGAGGAAAGACAGUCUCCGGAGAAAAGCUUCAGGAUGAAUGCCAUGGAAAGAGAAACAAAAUCCAUGGUGGAUCAAGCUGAUGAAAAACAGCUAAUGUGUCCUGAAAUCAGUUGGCUGAACCAGUGAGGUUCAUCACCCUUUUCUUGGGUUAUAUUUGCUCAUAAUGUGAAGUUAGUUUGAGAUUUUGAAAGCAGUUUGGAAGAAUCACUCAUGGUCACAGUCUAUUUGCAAACCUAUCAACGCUGGAGAUUUGAUGCUGUCACUGAGGUACACACUGCUCAAAGCAACACAGAAAUUCUGGCAGGGUCUACGCAUGGCAGGGGCUGGAAGGGACCUGCCCAGAUUCCAUGAGAACACGCAGAUCAGGGCAGCUCUCUGUGGAGGCAUCCUGCGGCACCAGAGUAUUUAGGAGAGAUACAAAACCCCAUUAAUUUUACAAGCAUGGCAAGAGCACAGCCUCAGCAGCGGCAGCGUCAUCAUUUGGUUGACAGAAAGCACAUGUUUUUGCACACAUGGACUUCAAAAUAGCCACAUCAAAACAAAAAUGUGUUUCCAACAGCCCAGCAUGUGGCAUGGACUGAAGUUUUAAUUGGCAAGCAAGGCUUUCUGCUGGGAACAGCUUGGGUGUGCCUGCGAGCUGUGGAGUGAGGCCCCUAGUCAGUGUGGAAUCAAGAGUCCACGAAGCAAACCUUAGAGAGAGAGACAGAGGAGGAAGAGGUGAACACCAAUCAGUGGAGCUCAAGAGAAAAAGAAAAUAAAAACACAGCACCACUGGAAGAACACAUGGGUCGCAAAAUGAGGAGAGAAAUGAGGAACGAGCCGGCCUGAGGACUUCGGCCAGCUGGUCCCUGUAUGAAGUCCGCCAGGGCAGACCAUCACUCACACAAUCUUGUUUUCUUUGUCCCUCCCAAAUCCCAACACCAACUCCUCAUCUGGUCCCCAAAACCUCACUGGACAUCAGGUCCUGCUUGCCUAAGUGCAGUAAAAAUCAAACUUACUACAUAUUGAGCACCUUCUACACCCAGAUGCUGUACCAGGAAUCAUAUUACAUCAUCCUCUUUGGUUCCCACACCUACAAUAUAAAGUGAAGAUUGAUGUCCCCAUGUGAGAAAUAAGGAAACAUGUUCAGAGAGGUUAAGCAACUUGCCCAGAGCUACACAGUAGGCUGGCUACUCUCUGACUGUUUGAUCCAUGCUCUGUUCUGCUCUGUGCCUGAGGAUGCUGACUCCCGCACAGAACACCAGCUGUAUUUGCUCUCCCUCUCCCUGGCUCAGCCCCUGGAAGUUCUAGCAAAGGUAGGAAGAAGGAAACUGGGAUAUUAACACCCCUGCUUCCUUCACGUAGGGCCUUAGUUUGGCAGAGGUUGUCAGGCCACUGUUUCUGUCCCUUGGUCUCUCUCCUCUGGCCACAACUCUUACCAAGUCCUAGUCAUUCACCAAGUUUCUUCAGGCCUGAAGGUGGGAACAGUGUCCCACGACCGCUAGUCUCUGGGUGAAGCAUCACCACAUUUUGAUGGUCCCAUGACCUCCCUAUACCUCUGUAAACAGUCCCUUCACUGAAUAUAUUCAGCAACCCUCUGACCAACAGGACCUCACUGCUAAGCAGAGCUCAUGCUAGCAGAGCUUGCAUUUGAACCUGGAUUGGCUGGACUGCAAAGCUCGGGCUGUUAAUCACAGGGCUAUACUGUGUGGUGGGUGACUUAAGCAAUCAAGAAGUACAUAAUCAUUCCUGGAAUUAAGCGUGUACGCACACGUGCACACACACACGCGCACACACACACAGUGGGCAGGAAUGUUUCAAUGUUGCUUUCAUCCACGUCCCUGACAGCCGAGUUCAGAGUGUCCAAUUAGAAUUUCUGGUUAUGCAAUUUUUCUUUGAAGUGAUAAAUUGGUGGUAGAAAGUUCUGAACUUGAUACAUCUCUGGGUGGCUUCAGUUGAUUUCAAUCUGUGGUAGUGUCUAGAUGACUCUGCCAGGACUUGGCUUUCUGGCAGGUCUUAUGAAACCAAGGGCUGGGCCAGCCAGUUCUAUAAUAGUUGCUCCAAACUGUGUAGAUUCCAGGGACCUCCCCAGCUCAGAGCUAAUAACUAACACGAUUGACUACAGACGUGUGUUUUAAUCACAGAAAUCUGAAAAAGGUCCCAAGAGAAAAAAGCUUACAACUUUCAAAAUCUUUUAGACUUUGCCUUUGGUGUUAGACCAGUUCUUCCUAGGUUGUUCACUUGGAUUCACUCUAGAGCAAGGUUUCUCAGCCUGGGUACCUGGGUAUUCUAGGUUGAAUAAUUCCUUCUUCUGGGAGACUGUCUCAUGAGCUGCAGGAUGUUUAGCAGAAUCCCUGGUUUCUACUCACUAGAGGCUUCAGCACCAACCUUCCACUUCUCCUCUGCUAUUGUGGCAACUGAAAAUGUCUCCAGACACUGCCAAAUGUCCCCCAGGAGAGCAAACUCACCCCUGGUUGAGAAUCACUGCUCUACAGGAAUAGUUGCAUGAGGAUGGGCACAAACUCAGCUUCACAAAAGAAAUUCUACUCAAGCCUCACAAAAGAGACAGCUUAUCACUUGCAAAAUACUGAUUCAAUAGCCUAAUUUUUAUGCCUUAAAAGUUAAGCCAUGCUUUGUCCUCAAGUUUCAGAGUUUGAUUUUCCAGAGGUUCAGACCUAAGCCCCACUGAAGAUGACUUCAGAGAUGGCUUAGGCCUGAACCUGCUUGACCCGAACAAUUUUGACCAUGUAUAGUCAAAAUUACCUUCAAAAGUCCCUUUGGACAGUGCUACCUUAUAGAUCCCAUAACUUCUCCAUGGUUUUGACAAUCACGGUUUUAAUUUAGCGUCAGUGGAACUCCUUAAGUGCUGGGAUUGCAUUCAUGGGCUGUGUUACCCCCAAAUACAAAUCUGUAAACUCUAAACUCACAUUUGAAGCAGCAAAUUGUUCAUACGACAAGGGGCACGUUGGAAUCAGGAAUGGUUCAAGGAAAAGAAGAAAAGAUCUAUGCUCCUUGUGGUCAUGCUCCCUCAGGGACAUGCACUUAAUAUGAAUGUUAGACAGGAUUAAAAGCGCUAUUUAAAUUAGAAUUUCCACUUCCCACUCUUGCCCCUCAGAUUACGCUUCUGAUUAAGUUCACUUGCUUAAAUAUGUAUAUAAUGCUACUGUAGUAUCAUACAGGAUAAAAAAGAAGCAAUUUCAGGUUCAAUUAUUCUCAUAUUGAUAACAUAUAGGGUGACUAUUCUAUUAGAGUCAGAUCCUCAGAAAGAAAUGGCCCAGAUAUGUCAACUCUCUGUAAAAGUUUCCUCUCUAUUAAUUAUACCAACAUCAUUUAUUCAGUCCUUAUGGAGUGGCCUGCAUAGUCAAAGAUGUGUCCUCCACCCAUGGCUCAUGUAAUAAAUUUCUUCCUGGGUAGAGAGGAAACAGCUGUCUCUGCAGAUUCAUGAGUCUGCUUUCUUUUGUCAUGCUUGACCAUUCGCCAACUCAUAACCCAUGUACUGAAUGCUUGUUCUGCUCCAAGCACUGGGAAUAACAAAGGUGGGCACAGGCACGUGCCCUGCCCGAGGCACACGUAGAUGCUUGGGAGGAGCAACUUAUCACAUGGACAGUGAGGUAAGCCCUGCAUCCCAACUGUGCACAAGAUGCAAGGGAAACACAAGAGAGGGAUCAAGGGCGGCUUUAGAGAAGAGAAGAUGCCUCAGCUCGAUGAAGAGUCCAGGGGGCACCCAAUGGAAGAGUGCACUCCAAGCACAGAGCAUGGCAUUUUCAGAGCCUGGAAGAAGUGAAACCUAUCAGAAGUGAUUGAAAUGGCCCAGAUCAGAGAUGGUUGAGGCCAGGACUAACGCAAUGGCAAUGAAGAGAAAAGAAAGAGGGCUGAUUUGAGAGAAAACAACACAAAAGACACUUGGGGAUUGAUUGGAUGUAAGGUAAGUGUUGAAGGAGGAAUCAAAAAUUAUAUGAAUGUUCCAGCUUAAAUGAUUGGGCCACGAGAGAUAGCCUUAACCAGGUGGGGACUAGAAAAUAUAAGCAGGUUUCGGGUGGGGGUUUCUGGAUGAGAGAUAGACAUCACCUUCCAUCUGAACAGCCCUCAGCCUGGCACUUGGUGGGUCUGAAGAGUUGGAGGGGCAUUUAGUGGAGAUGGCUGGGGAAGUGCAAUACACACGCCCUGAGCUCAGGGAGGCCAAGGCUGGCAGUACAGACCUCAGGGAUUCAAGGCAUAUGGGAGGUAGGUAAAAAUCACAGGUGGAAUGCGAGGGCCCAGUGAGAGGAUGUGUAUGAAGAUAGAGAGGAGCUGGAGAGGAACUUCAGAAAAACCCACCACGUAGUGAAAAGGCAGAAGAGGAGUCAGUGAGAGGAUUGCAACCAAACAAUGAGAAAAGACUAAGACAAAUGUUGAGAAAACAAUGAGAAAUGCACGCGACUCAAAAGGCAACUAUCCUGUUUAGCCUGGAGAUGAUCUAGAGGACAAAGAGGCAUCCAGAGGGGGAUGGAUCCAGAAAGUCAACAAAAAGCGACUUGAACUUCCCGAUGUAUCUGGCAGAGGCAGCCUUCUCACAGAAGUUACAAAUUCAAAAGGCUCCAAAGAUGCAUAUCAUGCCCAGAGGCAGAUGAAACACACUGCAUGGUCACUGAACCCAGAGGUUCUCCUGAAAAAGUGUAUUUCAGGUACCAGAAAGUCAACGUGAGUGUGUCUUGCCAUACUGCAGGUGUUGUAUCAUUUUGAACAAAUGUGUUCCAAAGAUGGAUGGGGGAAAGCAGGGCUGCUGAAGGGAAAGGGGGAGUGGUGGAGAUAGCAGAGUAGUGAUUAAGAUCUUGAGCAUGGACAAGGAUGCUAGAAGGAGCCCCAGAGUUAUUCUCCUUUGCUAAUUUCCCCAGUCUCAGUCAUUGUCUGGAAAUUCAAAGUACCACUGUGGCUCAAGAACCCUCAUUGUCCUGACAUGUGGAGCCUCCUGACUGCACCUGAAAGCACUGACCCAAGGCUCCCACCUGGGAUGAAAGGUGCAGAUGUCUCACCCAGCCAACAAGCCAGAUUCUCUGUUUGAGGAUCAGGAGGCUACAGGAAUCGCCAUAUUUACCCAUACUUUAAAUGCCUGCAUCUGUGACAGGAAGUAUCAUUAACCUUUGUCAAUAAUGUCUGCUGGUGAGUAGGCCAUGGCCAUAUAGGCCGUAUAUAUCCCCAGGGCCAAACAAUCAGACAUUUGGAAAUACCCUGGAAUCCAAUUACAGGUAGAGAAAAAAAUCACUGUCAAACGUAUUUUUCCUUGACAUAAAUAAAAAUAAUAUAGUGUGGCAUCAUUUUCAAAUGUAUCUGUGAUGUAUUAUUUCUGUGUGCAAUAUGGAGAGUAUCAAGCUCAUAAUAAAAUACUGUAGACAUAAUUUUGCUUUCAUGGCUAGGUUAGUGGGUGAAAGCCACUUCUAAAUUCUUGACAGCUGCUUCCUUCCACUGGGAAAUGCCAUUUAUCUCCACCUGGCCUCAGGAGGGACUCGUUUACAAGAGGGAGCAAGGAGGGAACAUAGUUCUAGCUCUCUAGAGAAGGCAGCUUAACCCCGGGAUGCCCUCCAGGGACCACCAUCAACAUAUGGUUUUCAGAGUCUCAAUAUUUUAAGACCGACAUUACUCAUCCAUGACUGAGCCAUCUGCCUGGGACAAUCUUCCAUGGCUCAGGGAUCGGGAGUAACGGGAUGUCACGGGAAGCUGUGGAGGAGCCGGCCCGCUCCAGCAGAAUGAGCCAAGGUUUGGAGAGCCAGCAAAGAAUUGGACAGACAAUAUCGUUCCAUUAUAUCCAGUUCUGCUAAGGUCAUGGAGUCCGGCCUUGUUUAAAUUAAACUUUAUGCCAUAUUUAGUCAACCCUCCUAGAAUUAAAAGCUUAAUGCCUCUGCUGUCUUCAAUUGGCUAAGUCUACAUCAGGCUGUAAGCCAUAACACUUGACUAAAGCAAACAGUGCUAGCAGGAGGGUUAGUCAACACACACUGUGUAAACGCUGCUGAGAACCAUCCCUGUGUUAAUGUGAAAGAAAACGGACCCACAGUAUGCAGAGCAGGCAGGAAAACAGCUGAUGCUCAAGGCUGCAGUGUACAAUAUCAUCGCGCCUCUCCAAAUAAAGUGAAGAAGACAGAAUAUCUCCCAGGAGAGCUUGCCUGUCUGUACAUAAGGACGUACACACACACACCCACAUCCAACCAUGUGCCAGUAAUUUUUACAAUUUGAAUUAUUUUCCUUCUUCCAUAUUUACCUUCUAUUUUCACUAGGUCCACAUUUUUCUUUGCUUGCUGUAAUUAAUUUUAUUCUCCUUCAGUUUAAUUUAAACCAGACUAACAGUUCCUCGGGUAAGAACAUUCGAAUGUUGGUCACUUGAUUGGGCAGACCCACAUCUCAAAAUGAUAAAGUAUUAAAUGAAUAUUCCAGUAUUUAGGAUUAAAUGUUAAAGUAAAGCUUAUUUUCCAUAUUCUCCUUUUUCCAUGGCCAUACAUUGACAACUUUGAUGAAUCAUUUUGCUUUAAUAUAAGUGGCUCUGAAGACGUCUAGUUUGUUAGUGACCAGGCAGUUGCAGUCACAACCCCCCUCCCCCAACAAAGUGUACCCAUAGUUGCUGUCUCAGUAUUAGCCUGCAGGUUGAAAUCAUCACUACUGCCCUGAGGAAGCCUGUCUGAUGUUAACCUGUUCAUUUUCCCUCUACUCUCCCUGUACUCACCUUGGGGAUGGUGAGGGGUUCCUGGGGAGGAGGCAGACACCGUGAGAGCCUCUUGAGAGUCUGAAGAUGAGGGGCUAUGGCUCAGAGGAGCCAGGCAGGCUGGGGCUGCUGGCGAGGUCAGGUCCAAGGAGAGGUCGGCUCUGCCCCGGCUCACACUCCGGCUUCUCAGCUCCUUCUCGUGCUCCUCAGCUGCCAACUGUUCCAAGUAUUUGUAUCUGAAAGUUAAAUUCCAAAGGGUUUCCGUCAAACGAAAGAGGAGCCUGUGGCUGAUGCUUGUUUAUGGAUGAAACACCUGCAGAAUGAGCCGGUUUCCUGAUGCACACAGCACAGUGCAGGGCUGGCUGGAGAGUCAGCCUGCCAAAAACACCCAGCAAAGCCAAGAUGCUAAUGAUUAAAAAUCCCACGUCACUCAUAACCAAGCAAAUUGGGGGAAAUGGCAGCAUCACACAGUCCCUAGAUACUGGAUCACUGCUGCAGAAUCCUAUCUUGCUCUUUUAGGGAACAUUUGUAAAUAAGCAAAACAGCAAUAACCACCACCAAAAAGCCUCAAGAGUGAUGGCUGAAAACCAAACCCCCUCGGAGCUCACAGCUGUGAAAUGGGUGGGUGCCUUGGUGUGGCAGAGAGAAAAAAAAUGCCCCCCAUAUACCAAAGGGGGUUGCUUGGAUGAAGGCCUGCCUCUCUGAAUUUCUGAACCUGCUUCAAUACUAACAGCAAUGUAACUGGAAUUCACUUUGUUCUCUCAGUGCUGACCAUGGAAACUUUUUUUAUAUUCUAAAAUAUUUCUGAGUAGGAAUCAGACAUCCAAUAGCUUGAACCUGACGUCACAUAGAGUUUAUUCAUCAAAGUCAGUUUAAAAGAACAAAGAUACAUCUGUUUUGCAUUUCAGGCAGGCAGAACCCACUAACUGUUUAUUAAGACCAGCUACCAAUCAUAUUCCUCAUAGUGCGCUUUAUAGAUCAGACCAAAAUAACUUUGAAAUGUGUGCCUCUUCCAGAUGUCUGCUAAUUUUACUCACCAUUAUUUUUUCAGAAAUAAAUUUAUGCAUUCAGCUGUAACAGGUUUCUUACUAUCUUACCUACCACUAAACUUUGGAACAGCUUACUCAAGACGCUCACUUUGCAUCUAUCCAAUUCACUGCUUCAGUUCCUCACAAUGGGCAUUAGACAUGGUGUUCCUCAUUUACCCAGAUAAGAAAGGCAGAGCACAUAAUUAAAAUAUUUUAAAA
RNAcentral lists this long non-coding RNA (7954 nucleotides) under Homo sapiens (human). Its description in RNAcentral is "non-protein coding lnc-TPGS2-11:1". Lineage: Eukaryota; Metazoa; Chordata; Mammalia; Primates; Hominidae. The record is from RNAcentral.